This 231-nucleotide ribosomal RNA is filed under the name uncultured bacterium. RNAcentral describes it as "partial 16S ribosomal RNA". It matches the Rfam family "Bacterial small subunit ribosomal RNA", at positions 118 to 347 of the family's 1533-position model. The record is from RNAcentral.
UGAGCAAUCUGCCCUUCUCAUCGGAAUAAGCGUUGGAAACGACGUCUAAUGCCGAAUACGACCUCCUUUUCGCAUGAUCGGAGGUGGAAAGCUCCGGCGGAGAAGGAUGAGCUCGCGGCCUAUCAGCUAGUUGGUGUGGGUAAUGGCCCACAAGGCGACGACGGGUAGCCGGCCUGAGAGGGUGUCCAGCCACACUGGGACUGAGAUACGGCCCAGACCUCCGUAGGGAGG